GAUGAACGCUGGCGGCGUGCCUAAUACAUGCAAGUCGAGCGAACAGACGAGGAGCUUGCUCCUCUGACGUUAGCGGCGGACGGGUGAGUAACACGUGGAUAACCUACCUAUAAGACGGGGAUAACAUCGGGAAACCGGAGCUAAUACCGGAUAAUAAAUUGAACCGCAUGGUUCAAUAGUGAAAGACGCAUUUGCUGUCCCUAAUAGAUGGAUCCGGGUCGCAUUAGCUAGUUGGUAAGGUAAGGGCUUACCAAGGCAACGAUGCUUAGCCGACCUGGGAGGGUGUCCGGCCACACUGGAACUGAGCCCCGGUCCAGACUCCUCCGGGAGGCAGCGGUGGGGAAUCUUCCGCAAUGGGCGAAAUCCUGACGGGGCAACGCCGCGUGGUUGAUGAAGGUCUUCGGAUCUUAAAACUCUUUUAUUGGGGAAGAACAUAUGUGUAAGUAACUAUGCACGUCUUGACGGUACCUACUCAGAAAGCCACGGCUAACUACGUG
RNAcentral lists this ribosomal RNA (497 nucleotides) under uncultured bacterium. RNAcentral describes it as "partial 16S ribosomal RNA". It matches the Rfam family "Bacterial small subunit ribosomal RNA", at positions 28 to 507 of the family's 1533-position model. The record is from RNAcentral.